ACGCUCGACACCUACGGAGGCAGCAGUGGGGAAUAUUGCACAAUGGGGGAAACCCUGAUGCAGCGACGCCGCGUGAGCGAAGAAGUAUUUCGGUAUGUAAAGCUCUAUCAGCAGGGAANAAAGUGACGGUACCUGACUAAGAAGCACCGGCUAAAUACGUGCCAGCAGCCGCGGUAAUCUGAGCGGGCUGGCAAGGC
This 197-nucleotide ribosomal RNA is filed under the name uncultured bacterium. Its description in RNAcentral is "partial 16S ribosomal RNA". It matches the Rfam family "Bacterial small subunit ribosomal RNA", at positions 328 to 539 of the family's 1533-position model. The record is from RNAcentral.